CGGAGGAUCCAAGCGUUAUCCGGAAUCAUUGGGUUUAAAGGGUCCGUAGGCGGUUUGGUAAGUCAGUGGUGAAAGCCCAUCGCUCAACGGUGAACGGCCAUUGAUACUGCCAGACUUGAAUUAUUAGGAAGUAACUAGAAUAUGUAGUGUAGCGGUGAAAUGCUUAGAGAUUACAUGGAAUACCAAUUGCGAAGGCAGGUUACUACUAAUGGAUUGACGCUGAUGGACGAAAGCGUGGGUAGCGAACAGGAUUAGAUACCCUGGUAGUCCACGCCGUAAACGAUGGAUACUAGCUGUUGGGAGCGAUCUCAGUGGCUAAGCGAAAGUGAUAAGUAUCCCACCUGGGGAGUACGUUCGCAAGAAUG
This 365-nucleotide ribosomal RNA is filed under the name uncultured organism. RNAcentral's name for it is "bacterial SSU rRNA". It matches the Rfam family "Bacterial small subunit ribosomal RNA", at positions 526 to 896 of the family's 1533-position model. The record is from RNAcentral.